RNAcentral lists this ribosomal RNA (253 nucleotides) under uncultured bacterium. Its description in RNAcentral is "partial 16S ribosomal RNA". It matches the Rfam family "Bacterial small subunit ribosomal RNA", at positions 524 to 776 of the family's 1533-position model. The record is from RNAcentral.
AACGUAGGAGACAAACGUUAUCCGGAGUUACUGGGCGUAAAGGGCGUGCAGGCGGCAGUCUAAGUCUGGCGUGAAAUUUCCCGGCUUAACCGGGAGAGGUCGUCGGAUACUGGGCAGCUUGAGGGCGGUAGAGGCGUGUGGAAUUCCGGGUGUAGUGGUGAAAUGCGUAGAGAUCCGGAGGAACACCAGUGGCGAAGGCGACACGCUGGGCCGCACCUGACGCUAAGACGCGACAGCAUGGGGAGCAAACAGG